CUGGUCCUGAACCAAGGCUGGUAGUUUGCUGAAGCUUCUGGUUUCAAGGAGGAGCCCAAAGAUAUAUCUAUCUGUGGUCUGUUGACCAUUUCAGAAACAUGGAAAUGUAAUGGUCAAUUCAUUAAAAAGAGAAAAAA
Small nucleolar RNA from Jaculus jaculus (lesser Egyptian jerboa), 137 nucleotides. The record is from Ensembl. Lineage: Eukaryota; Metazoa; Chordata; Mammalia; Rodentia; Dipodidae.